RNAcentral lists this ribosomal RNA (265 nucleotides) under uncultured bacterium. RNAcentral's name for it is "partial 16S ribosomal RNA". It matches the Rfam family "Bacterial small subunit ribosomal RNA", at positions 793 to 1055 of the family's 1533-position model. The record is from RNAcentral.
GUCCACGCCAUAAACGAUGAGCACUAGGUGUCGCGGGUAUUGACCCCUGCGGUGCCGCCGCUAACGCAUUAAGUGCUCCGCCUGGGGACUACGGCCGCAAGGUUAAAACUCAAAGGAAUUGACGGGGGCCCGCACAAGCGGUGGAGCAUGUGGUUCAAUUCGACGCAACGCGAAGAACCUUACCUGGGCUAGACAACAUCGGACAGUCCUAGAGAUAGGAUCUUCCCUUCGGGGACCGGUGGUUCAGGUGCUGCAUGGCUGUCGU